RNAcentral lists this ribosomal RNA (1035 nucleotides) under Praeclarispora artemisiae. RNAcentral's name for it is "SSU rRNA". It matches the Rfam family "Eukaryotic small subunit ribosomal RNA", at positions 75 to 1121 of the family's 1831-position model. The record is from RNAcentral. Lineage: Eukaryota; Fungi; Ascomycota; Dothideomycetes; Pleosporales; Leptosphaeriaceae.
UAUACCGUGAAACUGCGAAUGGCUCAUUAAAUCAGUUAUCGUUUAUUUGAUAGUACCUUACUACUUGGAUAACCGUGGUAAUUCUAGAGCUAAUACAUGCUAAAAACCCCAACUUCGGAAGGGGUGUAUUUAUUAGAUAAAAAACCAACGCCCUUCGGGGCUUCUUGGUGAUUCAUGAUAACUUUACGGAUCGCAUGGCCUUGCGCCGGCGACGGUUCAUUCAAAUUUCUGCCCUAUCAACUUUCGAUGGUAAGGUAUUGGCUUACCAUGGUUUCAACGGGUAACGGGGAAUUAGGGUUCGAUUCCGGAGAGGGAGCCUGAGAAACGGCUACCACAUCCAAGGAAGGCAGCAGGCGCGCAAAUUACCCAAUCCCGACACGGGGAGGUAGUGACAAUAAAUACUGAUACAGGGCUCUUUUGGGUCUUGUAAUUGGAAUGAGUACAAUUUAAACCUCUUAACGAGGAACAAUUGGAGGGCAAGUCUGGUGCCAGCAGCCGCGGUAAUUCCAGCUCCAAUAGCGUAUAUUAAAGUUGUUGCAGUUAAAAAGCUCGUAGUUGAAACUUGGGCCUGGCUGGCAGGUCCGCCUCACCGCGUGUACUUGUCCGGCCGGGCCUUCCUUCUGGAGAACCUCAUGCCCUUCACUGGGUGUGUUGGGGACCAGGACUUUUACUUUGAAAAAAUUAGAGUGUUCAAAGCAGGCCUUUGCUCGAAUACGUUAGCAUGGAAUAAUAGAAUAGGACGUGCGGUCCUAUUUUGUUGGUUUCUAGGACCGCCGUAAUGAUUAAUAGGGACAGUCGGGGGCAUCAGUAUUCAAUUGUCAGAGGUGAAAUUCUUGGAUUUAUUGAAGACUAACUACUGCGAAAGCAUUUGCCAAGGAUGUUUUCAUUAAUCAGUGAACGAAAGUUAGGGGAUCGAAGACGAUCAGAUACCGUCGUAGUCUUAACCGUAAACUAUGCCGACUAGGGAUCGGGCGAUGUUCUUUUUCUGACUCGCUCGGCACCUUACGAGAAAUCAAAGUUUUUGGGUCUGGGGAG